AGCGGAGGAAAAGAAACCAACAGGGAUUGCCUCAGUAACGGCGAGUGAAGCGGCAACAGCUCAAAUUUGAAAUCUGGCUCUUUCAGGGUCCGAGUUGUAAUUUGUAGAGGAUGCUUCGGGUGUGGCUCCGGUCUAAGUUCCUUGGAACAGGACGUCAUAGAGGGUGAGAAUCCCGUAUGUGACUGGUUGCCUAUGCUCAUGUGAAGCUCCUUCGACGAGUCGAGUUGUUUGGGAAUGCAGCUCAAAAUGGGUGGUAAAUUUCAUCUAAAGCUAAAUAUUGGCCAGAGACCGAUAGCGCACAAGUAGAGUGAUCGAAAGAUGAAAAGCACUUUGGAAAGAGAGUUAAACAGUACGUGAAAUUGUUGAAAGGGAAGCGCUUGCAACCAGACUUGCACGUAGUUAAUCAACCGGUGUUCUCACUGGUGCACUUGAUUACGUUCAGGCCAGCAUCGGUUUCGGUGGUUGGAUAAAGGCCGGGGGAAUGUGGCUUCUUUCGGGGAGUGUUAUAGCCCUCGGUGCAAUGCAGCCUACCGGGACCGAGGACCGCGCUUCGGCUAGGAUGCUGGCGUAAUGGUUGUAAGCGACCCGUCUUGAAACACGGACCAAGGAGUCUAACAUCUAUGCGAGUGUUUGGGUGUUAAACCCAUACGCGUAAUGAAAGUGAACGGAGGUGAGAACCCUUAAGGGUGCAUCAUCGACCGAUCCUGAUGUCUUCGGAUGGAUUUGAGUAAGAGCAUAGCUGUUGGGACCCGAAAGAUGGUGAACUAUGCCUGAAUAGGGUGAAGCCAGAGGAAACUCUGGUGGAGGCUCGCAGCGGUUCUGACGUGCAAAUCGAUCGUCAAAUUUGGGUAUAGGGGCGAAAGACUAAUCGAACCAUCUAGUAGCU
Molecule: ribosomal RNA, 886 nt
Filed under: Humicolopsis cephalosporioides
Lineage: Eukaryota; Fungi; Ascomycota; Leotiomycetes; Helotiales
Description: partial large subunit ribosomal RNA
Rfam family: Eukaryotic large subunit ribosomal RNA
Source: RNAcentral